CCUACGGGUAGCUGCAGUGAGGAAUAUUGGUCAAUGGACGAGAGUCUGAACCAGCCAAGUAGCGUGAAGGAUGACUGCCCUAUGGGUUGUAAACUUCUUUUAUAUGGGAAUAAACUGUUCCACGUGUGGGAUUUUGUAUGUACCAUAUGAAUAAGGAUCGGCUAACUCCGUGCCAGCAGCCGCGGUAAUACGGAGGAUCCGAGCGUUAUCCGGAUUUAUUGGGUUUAAAGGGAGCGUAGGUGGUUUGUUAAGUCAGUUGUGAAAGUUUGCGGCUCAACCGUAAAAUUGCAGUUGAAACUGGCAGUCUUGAGUACAGUAGAGGGGGGCGGAAUUCGUGGUGUAGCGGUGAAAUGCUUAGAUAUCACGAAGAACUCCGAUUGCGAAGGCAGUUCACUGGACUGCAACUGACACUGAGGCUCGAAAGUGUGGGUAUCAAACAGGAUUAGAUACCCUUGUAGUC
This 460-nucleotide ribosomal RNA is filed under the name uncultured bacterium. RNAcentral's name for it is "partial 16S ribosomal RNA". It matches the Rfam family "Bacterial small subunit ribosomal RNA", at positions 338 to 795 of the family's 1533-position model. The record is from RNAcentral.